UCUUAGGGCGAGAUGCAGGGUACACCCUGGACAGGUCGCUAGUUUGCCGCAGGGAAGCCGGAGUACCUGGAGAGAACCCACGCAAACACGGGAAGAACAUGCAAACUCCACACAGAAAGACCCUGGCUUGAUGGUGGAAUUGAGACUGACAAAAUUUCUGAUCCACUGGGAUUUCCCCACACAGCCAUCUCUACGGUUUACUGAGAAUGGUCUGAUAAAAUGAUAUUCACCGAGUGGCAGGUCUGUGUCAAAAUGCCUUGUUGGUGGCAGAUUGGCCAGCCAGCUUCGAGCCAAUAGUCACUCAAAUAACCACUUGCUACAACAGAGGUAUGAGGAGAGCCUCUCUGAACACAUUGGACCUUGAAGCAGAUGUGCUACAGCAGCAGAAGACCACACUUCUGUCAGCUGAGAAGAGAAGACUGAAGCUGCAAUACACACAAAUUUUACCAAAAUUUCACAGCAGAAGACUGGAAAAAAGUUGUCUGCUCUUUUUUGACUUUAAAUGUUUUAAAAACAAAAUAAAAAAUAAUGUAACAAAUGAUCAGAGAUGCAGGAUAUUCAGUCUGUAGUUUUAUUAAUAUUUGUUUUCUUUUAGUGUAUCAAACUAUGUUUCGUGUAUGGGCUUAAAACAAAACAGCAGUAAUAAAUGUGACACUGGGAAGCCAAAUCAAAAUAAUUUAUUUUUGGUGACAUUUCAUACAGUUCUAAGAUUGUGUCUCAAACACUUGGUUGAUUCAUGACUACAUUUCCAUUUGCCACCCCAACCCAAAUUAACAGAAAAUAACCCAAACAUAUUGAGGGGGGGGGAGGAGCAAAUCCUGUAGGUAUUUUUGCAAGCCUGUCAACAUCAACCAUAUGCUUCUAAAAUGAUUUCACAUUACUCAUGAGUAAGAUUCUUUUUUUAAAACAAAGUUAGUGCAUUUCUUUAAUUAUACUAAAUCACUAGCUGCUCAUA
Molecule: long non-coding RNA, 955 nt
Organism: Oreochromis niloticus (Nile tilapia)
Lineage: Eukaryota; Metazoa; Chordata; Actinopteri; Cichliformes; Cichlidae
Exons: 2
Source: RefSeq, a predicted model, not a curated record